Eremothecium sinecaudum is the source of this 118-nucleotide small nuclear RNA. The record is from RefSeq and is a predicted model, not a curated record. Lineage: Eukaryota; Fungi; Ascomycota; Saccharomycetes; Saccharomycetales; Saccharomycetaceae.
AGGAAGUAUUUUCCUUAUUUCUCAUUGUGAUGAUUUUGAGUGCAUUUGGCUCGAGACUUUGCCCUUGGCGGGGCACUGUUGAUGUGGAAAAAACCAAGCUACCUUUAUUUUUUUUGUC